UACGGGGGGGGCAAGCGUUGUUCGGAAUUACUGGGCGUAAAGGGCUUGUAGGUGGCCAACUAAGUCAGACGUGAAAUCCCUCGGCUUAACCGGGGAACUGCGUCUGAUACUGGAUGGCUUGAGUGUGGGAGAGGGAUGCGGAAUUCCAGGUGUAGCGGUGAAAUGCGUAGAUAUCAGGAGGAACACCGGUGGCGAAGGCGGUUCUCUGGGCAUGUCCUGACGCUGAGGAGCGAAAGUGUGGGGAGCGAACAGG
RNAcentral lists this ribosomal RNA (253 nucleotides) under uncultured bacterium. RNAcentral's name for it is "partial 16S ribosomal RNA". It matches the Rfam family "Bacterial small subunit ribosomal RNA", at positions 524 to 776 of the family's 1533-position model. The record is from RNAcentral.